RNAcentral lists this ribosomal RNA (505 nucleotides) under uncultured bacterium. RNAcentral's name for it is "partial 16S ribosomal RNA". It matches the Rfam family "Bacterial small subunit ribosomal RNA", at positions 28 to 507 of the family's 1533-position model. The record is from RNAcentral.
GACGAACGCUGGCGGCGUGCCUAAUACAUGCAAGUAGAACGCACAGUUUAUACCGUAGCUUGCUACACCAUAGACUGUGAGUUGCGAACGGGUGAGUAACGCGUAGGUAACCUGCCUGGUAGCGGGGGAUAACUAUUGGAAACGAUAGCUAAUACCGCAUAAUAUUAAUUAUUGCAUGAUAAUUAAUUGAAAGGUGCAAUUGCACCACUACCAGAUGGACCUGCGUUGUAUUAGCUAGUAGGGGAGGUAACGGCUCACCUAGGCGAAGAUACAUAGCCGACCUGAGAGGGGGAUCGGCCACACUGGGACUGAGACACGGCCCAGACUCCUACGGGAGGCAGCAGUAGGGGAUCUUCGGCAAUGGACGAAAGUCUGACCGGGGAACGCCGCGGGAGGGAAGAAGGGUCUCGGAUCGUAAAGCUCUGUUGUAAGAGAAGAACGGGUGUGAGAGUGGAAAGUGCACACUGUGACGGUAUCUUACCAGAAAGGGACGGCUAACUACGUG